RNAcentral lists this transfer-messenger RNA (362 nucleotides) under Vogesella aquatica. It matches the Rfam family "transfer-messenger RNA". Rfam says of the family: Bacterial tmRNA, also known as 10Sa RNA or SsrA, is named for its dual tRNA and mRNA-like properties. Its role is to liberate the mRNA from a stalled ribosome. To accomplish this part of the tmRNA is used as a reading frame that ends in a translation stop signal. The record is from RNAcentral. Lineage: Bacteria; Pseudomonadati; Pseudomonadota; Betaproteobacteria; Neisseriales; Chromobacteriaceae.
GGGGGCGACCUGGUUUCGACGGGGGUUGCGAAGCGGAUGAGGGCAUACCGGGAUUUCAGUCAUCCCGUUAAACACUGAAUUUAUUUAGUCGCAAACGACGAAACUUACGCUCUAGCUGCUUAAUCGCCGCUAGACUCUACAGCAGCUUGCUGAUGGGCUGUGGGGGCAACCCCGGUAGAGUCAUUUCACAUCAGAUCGCCUUUGACCGGGUUACUUGAUCAGGGGCUAAACUUAAGGUAACUCGCCAAUACCCAGCCUGUCCGUCGGCGUGGUAGCGGUUAAAACCAAAUGACACGACUAAGUAUGUAGAUCUCUUCGUAGAGGAUUUCCGGACGCGGGUUCGAUUCCCGCCGCCUCCACCA